GUGCCUCUAACAUGGUCCCUAUUUUUAAGGGUGCACUCAUGGUCCCUUUAAAAUGACUUUUAAUUGAAGGUUACAAAAACAAAAAUUGUUCCAUGGUCCCACAUAACAAAAAAUUAUUUUUUUUAAAGUGAACAUGAGUAAUUACUUUUACGCCCUCCGAUAUAAGACAAAAAUUUCUAAGUGGAGAAGCAUUUUCCUCCUCUCUUUCUCUCUCUUCAAGACUGCAGUUCUUCCUCUUCUUAUUUUAUCUCUCAUUCACCUUCAUUAAACCUUAAAUCUUAGAAAUUCAUUUAUUAUCCUUCUUUAUCUCUAUUUAAUUGCUCCAGAAUCAUUCCUCCUUCAUAUACGCACUUGCGAUUCUCGAAGCAAUUUCUCCUCUCGUCUGAAUUCGCGAUUCAAUCACCUCCAACAUCAAAUUACUAAUUCAUCAAAUUCUUAACCACCAAUAUUGCACCCAUAUGGAAUUGACUGGUUCUAGACUAUCACAACUAUCCAAUCAGGUCAUACUAGUUUCAUGGACACUUGGGAGUGUUUUAUUUAUUCAGUUUGCAGGAGGCUCAAAGUUUUAACCUCUACGUCAGUAUUCCUUUAAUUACCACCAUUGGAGGAUUUAUUUCAAAAGCAUUAACAUCUUGUUCCUUACAUUUAUUUGCAGCUUAUUGUUAUCCCACUCCAGCAACCAUCCUACGGUCUUGAAGGGAGAGAAAUAGAGGAGACAAAUGCUUCUCCAUUUGGGGAUUUUAGGGUAUAAAAGUAGUUACUCAUGUUAUGUGCGACCAUGAAAAAAAAAAUUGUUGAGUCAUUUUUGUUUGUGUAACCUGCAAUUGAAGGUCAUUUUGAAGGGACCAUGGGUGCACCCUUAAAAAUAGGGACCAUAUUAGGGGCACCCCAUAAA
RNAcentral lists this long non-coding RNA (895 nucleotides) under Medicago truncatula (barrel medic). RNAcentral describes it as "long non-coding RNA (MTRU_LNC005026)". Lineage: Eukaryota; Viridiplantae; Streptophyta; Magnoliopsida; Fabales; Fabaceae. The record is from RNAcentral.